GGGUCAGUAGGUUGGUCGUGCCACCGGUACGGGCUGGUCUCACUGAUUCCUCCUUCCUGAAGAACCGUAAUGCCAUUAAUUUGGUGUUGCGGGGAAACAGGACUGUUACUUUGAAAAAAUUAGAGUGUUUAAAGCAAGCUAACGCUUGAAUACAUUAGCAUGGAAUAAUGAAAUAGGACGAUCGAUCCUAUUUUGUUGGUUUCUAGGAUUGACGUA
This 216-nucleotide ribosomal RNA is filed under the name Glomeromycotina sp. RNAcentral describes it as "partial small subunit ribosomal RNA". The stretch from base 40 to 216 matches the Rfam family "Eukaryotic small subunit ribosomal RNA", at positions 686 to 864 of the family's 1831-position model. The record is from RNAcentral. Lineage: Eukaryota; Fungi; Glomeromycota.